Molecule: long non-coding RNA, 728 nt
Filed under: Limulus polyphemus (Atlantic horseshoe crab)
Lineage: Eukaryota; Metazoa; Arthropoda; Merostomata; Xiphosura; Limulidae
Description: uncharacterized LOC111086114, transcript variant X1
Source: RNAcentral
UUAGUAUGUUCCUUCUGUAAAUAUUUAUUAUCGAUAUUGUACGAUAUAACAAAAUCAAUGCUAGUAGAAAGUUCUAAAAAUGCAGUUUUUAUCAAGACUAUACCUGGAGACGCAGAUGAGAGAAGAAAAUAAAGACAAGGACAUAUAGCUAUGGCAAAGAUUGCAUUCAUGAAUACGAGACAUCUACUUAACAAUACGAAGCGAUAAAGAAGACAAACUUAUUGGGACAUGUGAUGAGACAAGAGAAGUUGACGAAUUACGGACAUUACGGGUAAGAUUGAGGGUAAGAAGUGAAAAUCUGGACCACAUUUUGAGAUGGUUUGGCUCAUAAGGACAGAGGAAGUGCUGCAUGUUACAAGAAACAAGGGAGUGGAAAAGAUGGAGAUCCAAGACUAUCGACGCCCUGAUCGUGGAUGACGUAGAUAAUGAUGGUGGUAACAGGGACUAUGGCGUUUAGUCGCUUCCAUUGGUUUGUGAGAUUCCAGAAAGACACUAGCGUGUAAACGUAUUAAACUGGGCGUAUAGUUCUAGUUUUGCGAGGGGGUAUUAAAUAAGUUAACGUCACUGUAUAAGGGAAGGAAAAUUUGCUUAUUCUAGUAUGUUUGUAUUUCAACUUUCAUGCAGUAAUUUAUUUAGAUAUAUUUUGAAUUUUUCAAGAAAAAGUUAAUGCAGUAAAGGUAUUUUCAAAUAUCACUCGAUGAUUAUGAAUGGAUUAGUACACAAAAUAA